RNAcentral lists this ribosomal RNA (253 nucleotides) under uncultured bacterium. RNAcentral describes it as "partial 16S ribosomal RNA". It matches the Rfam family "Bacterial small subunit ribosomal RNA", at positions 524 to 776 of the family's 1533-position model. The record is from RNAcentral.
UACGUAGGGUGCGAGCGUUGUCCGGAAUUAUUGGGCGUAAAGAGCUUGUAGGCGGUUUGUCGCGUCUGCCGUGAAAGCCCAGGGCUUAACCCUGGGUCUGCGGUGGGUACGGGCAGACUAGAGUGUGGUAGGGGAGACUGGAAUUCCUGGUGUAGCGGUGAAAUGCGCAGAUAUCAGGAGGAACACCGGUGGCGAAGGCGGGUCUCUGGGCAGUAACUGACGCUGAGGAGCGAAAGCGUGGGGAGCGAACAGG